AUUGAACGCUGGCGGCAUGCCUUACACAUGCAAGUCGAACGGCAGCACGGGAGCAAUCCUGGUGGCGAGUGGCGAACGGGUGAGUAAUAUAUCGGAACGUGCCCAGUCGUGGGGGAUAACGUAGCGAAAGCUACGCUAAUACCGCAUACGAUCUAUGGAUGAAAGCGGGGGAUCGCAAGACCUCGCGCGAUUGGAGCGGCCGAUAUCAGAUUAGGUAGUUGGUGAGGUAAAGACUCACCAAGCCGACGAUCUGUAGCUGGUCUGAGAGGACGACCAGCCACACUGGGACUGAGACACGGCCCAGACUCCUACGGGAGGCAGCAGUGGGGAAUUUUGGACAAUGGGCGCAAGCCUGAUCCAGCAAUGCCGCGUGCAGGAUGAAGGCCUUCGGGUUGUAAACUGCUUUUGUACGGAACGAAACGGUGAGCUCUAAUACAGUUUGCUAAUGACGGUACCGUAAGAAUAAGCACCGGCUAACUACGUG
This 484-nucleotide ribosomal RNA is filed under the name uncultured bacterium. RNAcentral describes it as "bacterial SSU rRNA". It matches the Rfam family "Bacterial small subunit ribosomal RNA", at positions 30 to 507 of the family's 1533-position model. The record is from RNAcentral.